AUUGAACGCUGGCGGCAGGCCUAACACAUGCAAGUCGAGCGGAUGAAGGGAGCUUGCGCCUGGAUUCAGCGGCGGACGGGUGAGUAAUGCCUAGGAAUCUGCCUGGUAGUGGGGGAUAACGUCCGGAAACGGGCGCUAAUACCGCAUACGUCCUGAGGGAGAAAGUGGGGGAGCUUCGGACCUCGCGCUAUCAGAUGGGCCUACGUCGGAUUAGCUAGGUGGUGGGGUAAAGGCGUACCAAGGCGACGAUCCGUAACUGGUCUGAGAGGAUGAGCAGUCACACUGCAACUGAGACACGGUCCAGACUCCUACGGGAGGCAGCAGUGGGGAAUAUUGGACAAUGGGCGAAAGCCUGAUCCAGCCAUGCCGCGUGUGUGAAGAAGGUCUUCGGAUUGUAAAGCACUUUAAGUUGGGAGGAAGGGCAGUAAGUUAAUACCUUGCUGUUUUGACGUUACCAACAGAAUAAGCACCGGCUAACUUCGUG
This 484-nucleotide ribosomal RNA is filed under the name uncultured bacterium. RNAcentral describes it as "partial 16S ribosomal RNA". It matches the Rfam family "Bacterial small subunit ribosomal RNA", at positions 30 to 507 of the family's 1533-position model. The record is from RNAcentral.